AGUUUUCGGGGCGUUUUGAUUAGUUUGAAUGUGAAGAAUCAGCUCUCGAUCAGAUCAGUGUCUCACAGCAGAAUGUCCACCGGCAGGACGCUGAUGCAAAGAAACAAAAGACAGGUGUCUCUCAACUUCUCCAUGUUCUGACAUGAUAGAGGACAUGUUAGUGCACGUUAGUCAGAGCGUGCACAGCUGCAGUCUUGUGUAAUAUUUAUGUUCAGUCGGCAUAGAAACAGCUCAGAGGAACUAUUAAAAUAUAUUCAGAUUUAUACGUUUAUAAAUGAAACACGUGGAGGGACACGUGUGUCGUUGUGAUUGUCUGUGUCCUCUUGACCGUCCCCUGACUGUCCUCUGUGUCUCCGUCAGGUCCAGAUCUACGAGCUGGAGGAACAUAAGAUCGAGACGUGGAGAGAGUUGUACCUGCAGGAGACCUUCAAACCUCUGGUCCACAUCUCACCUGACGCCAGUAUAUUUGACGCCGUGUACUCGCUGAUCAAGAAUAAGAUCCAUCGACUUCCUGUCAUUGAUCCGGUGAGCGGGAACGCCCUCUACAUCCUGACCCACAAGAGGAUCCUCAAGUUCCUGCAGCUCUUUGUGAGUCCCCCUGUCCCCCAGCAG
Plectropomus leopardus (leopard coralgrouper) is the source of this 612-nucleotide non-coding RNA. The record is from RefSeq and is a predicted model, not a curated record. Lineage: Eukaryota; Metazoa; Chordata; Actinopteri; Perciformes; Serranidae.